RNAcentral lists this ribosomal RNA (1082 nucleotides) under Micrococcus sp. ZYFB012. RNAcentral's name for it is "bacterial SSU rRNA". It matches the Rfam family "Bacterial small subunit ribosomal RNA", at positions 37 to 1132 of the family's 1533-position model. The record is from RNAcentral. Lineage: Bacteria; Bacillati; Actinomycetota; Actinomycetes; Micrococcales; Micrococcaceae.
GGGAGGCGGGAUACAACCAUGCAGUCGAACGAUGAAGCCCAGCUUGCUGGGUAGAUUAGUGGCGAACGGGUGAGUAACACGUGAGUAACCUGCCCUUGACUCUGGGAUAAGCCUGGGAAACUGGGUCUAAUACCGGAUAGGAACGUCCACCGCAUGGUGGUUGUUGGAAAGAUUUAUCGGUCAUGGAUGGACUCGCGGCCUAUCAGCUUGUUGGUGAGGUAAUGGCUCACCAAGGCGACGACGGGUAGCCGGCCUGAGAGGGUGACCGGCCACACUGGGACUGAGACACGGCCCAGACUCCUACGGGAGGCAGCAGUGGGGAAUAUUGCACAAUGGGCGAAAGCCUGAUGCAGCGACGCCGCGUGAGGGAUGACGGCCUUCGGGUUGUAAACCUCUUUCAGUAGGGAAGAAGCGAAAGUGACGGUACCUGCAGAAGAAGCACCGGCUAACUACGUGCCAGCAGCCGCGGUAAUACGUAGGGUGCGAGCGUUAUCCGGAAUUAUUGAGCGUAAAGAGCUCGUAGGCGGUUUGUCGCGUCUGUCGUGAAAGUCCGGGGCUUAACCCCGGAUCUGCGGUGGGUACGGGCAGACUAGAGUGCAGUAGGGGAGACUGGAAUUCCUGGUGUAGCGGUGGAAUGCGCAGAUAUCAGGAGGAACACCGAUGGCGAAGGCAGGUCUCUGGGCUGUAACUGACGCUGAGGAGCGAAAGCAUGGGGAGCGAACAGGAUUAGAUACCCUGGUAGUCCAUGCCGUAAACGUUGGGCACUAGGUGUGGGGACCAUUCCACGGUUUCCGCGCCGCAGCUAACGCAUUAAGUGCCCCGCCUGGGGAGUACGGCCGCAAGGCUAAAACUCAAAGGAAUUGACGGGGGCCCGCACAAGCGGCGGAGCAUGCGGAUUAAUUCGAUGCAACGCGAAGAACCUUACCAAGGCUUGACAUGUUCUCGAUCGCCGUAGAGAUACGGUUUCCCCUUUGGGGCGGGAUCACAGUGGUGCAUGGUUGUCGUCAGCUCGUGUCGUGAGAUGUUGGGUUAAGUCCCGCAACGAGCGCAACCCUCGUUCCAUGUUGCCAGCACGUAAUUGG